UGUGAACUCGAAGAGUAGGGCGGGACACGUGGUAUCCUGUCUGAAUAUGGGGGGACCAUCCUCCAAGGCUAAAUACUCCUGACUGACCGAUAGUGAACCAGUACCGUGAGGGAAAGGCGAAAAGAACCCCGGCGAGGGGAGUGAAAAAGAACCUGAAACCGUGUACGUACAAGCAGUGGGAGCACCUUCGGGUGUGACUGCGUACCUUUUGUAUAAUGGGUCAGCGACUUAUAUUCUGUAGCAAGGUUAACCGUAUAGGGGAGCCGCAGGGAAACCGAGUCUUAACUGGGCGUUAAGUUGCAGGGUAUAGACCCGAAACCCGGUGAUCUAGCCAUGGGCAGGUUGAAGGUUGGGUAACACUAACUGGAGGACCGAACCGACUAAUGUUGAAAAAUUAGCGGAUGACUUGUGGCUGGGGGUGAAAGGCCAAUCAAACCGGGAGAUAGCUGGUUCUCCCCGAAAGCUAUUUAGGUAGCGCCUCGUGAACUCAUCUUCGGGGGUAGAGCACUGUUUCGGCUAGGGGGUCAUCCCGACUUACCAACCCGAUGCAAACUACGAAUACCGAAGAAUGUUAUCACGGGAGACACACGGCGGGUGCUAACGUCCGUCGUGAAGAGGGAAACAACCCAGACCGCCAGCUAAGGUCCCAAAGUCAUGGUUAAGUGGGAAACGAUGUGGGAAGGCACAGACAGCCAGGAUGUUGGCUUAGAAGCAGCCAUCAUUUAAAGAAAGCGUAAUAGCUCACUGGUCGAGUCGGCCUGCGCGGAAGAUGUAACGGGGCUAAACCAUGCACCGAAGCUGCGGCAGCGACACUAUGUGUUGUUGGGUAGGGGAGCGUUCUGUAAGCCUGCGAAGGUGACCUGUGAGGGUUGCUGGAGGUAUCAGAAGUGCGAAUGCUGACAUAAGUAACGAUAAAGCGGGUGAAAAGCCCGCUCGCCGGAAGACCAAGGGUUCCUGUCCAACGUUAAUCGGGGCAGGGUGAGUCGACCCCUAAGGCGAGGCCGAAAGGCGUAGUCGAUGGGAAACAGGUUAAUAUUCCUGUACUUGGUGUUACUGCGAAGGGGGGACGGAGAAGGCUAUGUUAGCCGGGCGACGGUUGUCCCGGUUUAAGCAUGUAGGCUGGUUGUCCAGGCAAAUCCGGAUAAUCAAGGCUGAGGUGUGAUGACGAGGCACUACGGUGCUGAAGUAACAAAUGCCCUGCUUCCAGGAAAAGCCUCUAAGCAUCAGGUAACAUCAAAUCGUACCCCAAACCGACACAGGUGGUCAGGUAGAGAAUACCAAGGCGCUUGAGAGAACUCGGGUGAAGGAACUAGGCAAAAUGGUGCCGUAACUUCGGGAGAAGGCACGCUGGUGUGUAGGUGAAGCCCCUGCGGGUGGAGCUGAGACCAGUCGAAGAUACCAGCUGGCUGCAACUGUUUAUUAAAAACACAGCACUGUGCAAACACGAAAGUGGACGUAUACGGUGUGACGCCUGCCCGGUGCCGGAAGGUUAAUUGAUGGGGUUAUCCGUAAGGAGAAGCUCUUGAUCGAAGCCCCGGUAAACGGCGGCCGUAACUAUAACGGUCCUAAGGUAGCGAAAUUCCUUGUCGGGUAAGUUCCGACCUGCACGAAUGGCGUAAUGAUGGCCAGGCUGUCUCCACCCGAGACUCAGUGAAAUUGAACUCGCUGUGAAGAUGCAGUGUACCCGCGGCAAGACGGAAAGACCCCGUGAACCUUUACUAUAGCUUGACACUGAACAUUGAGCCUUGAUGUGUAGGAUAGGUGGGAGGCUUUGAAGCGUGGACGCCAGUCUGCGUGGAGCCAACCUUGAAAUACCACCCUUUAAUGUUUGAUGUUCUAACGUUGGCCCCUGACCGGGGUUGCGGACAGUGUCUGGUGGGUAGUUUGACUGGGGCGGUCUCCUCCCAAAGCGUAACGGAGGAGCACGAAGGUUAGCUAAUCCUGGUCGGACAUCAGGAGGUUAGUGCAAUGGCAUAAGCUA
RNAcentral lists this ribosomal RNA (1981 nucleotides) under Klebsiella pneumoniae. Its description in RNAcentral is "partial 23S ribosomal RNA". It matches the Rfam family "Bacterial large subunit ribosomal RNA", at positions 398 to 2366 of the family's 2925-position model. Lineage: Bacteria; Pseudomonadati; Pseudomonadota; Gammaproteobacteria; Enterobacterales; Enterobacteriaceae. The record is from RNAcentral.